GCCGUCGUCGACCAGUGGUAGGUCGCCUUCACACAGUUAGGAAGCUUGCUACUGUACAAGAAGGAGCCGGGGGUUCGACUCCCUCCGACGGCA
Molecule: non-coding RNA, 93 nt
Organism: Mycena latifolia
Lineage: Eukaryota; Fungi; Basidiomycota; Agaricomycetes; Agaricales; Mycenaceae
Source: the annotation of a GenBank genome assembly